Gadus morhua (Atlantic cod) is the source of this 2709-nucleotide long non-coding RNA. The record is from Ensembl. NCBI's taxonomy places the organism in Eukaryota, Metazoa, Chordata, Actinopteri, Gadiformes, Gadidae.
AAAUCACCUCCCCUCUCACAGCCUGGUGACAACCGGAACGGUGCGUGCUGGAGCGCUUUGUCCGGUACGCACUCACUACAUGUGUUGUUUGCUGCUUAGUUCCGUAAACUGUAUUCCCUAUAGGCCUCCACGCCUCUCCGAUGCUCCACCUACAAACCACACCACACCUCCCCAAUGCUCCAGCAACAAACCACAGCACCUCCCAGCAGUGCUUCACCUACAAACCACACCACAACUCCCAAAUGCUCCACCUACAAACACAUACCAUACGCAUCCACAAGCUUUAAAGCAUAUUUCAGCAUAUUUCAACACUGGCCCGGGAAUGCCUCGGGAUCCCCCCGUCAGAGCUGGUCAAUGUGGCCUGGGAAAGGGAAGUCUGGGGCCCCCUGCUUGAGCUGCUCCCCCCGCGACACGACCCCGGAUAAGCGGAUGAAGAUGAGAUGAGAUGAGAUGAUUUCAGCAUAUUUACAAUAAAAACACCUGAAAAAUAAAUAACAAGUUACUUCUUCAUGUGCCCUAACAUGUCUAUCCAUAAUCAACCAUAACUAAAAACUAAAAUAACGGUUAGUCACUAUUGGUUUCAUCUAACCAUACAUGUUCGCAACAGACCUCCUCUGAAUACAACGCAGGUAAUAAUAAUCCAUUGUUCCAAGUUGGUGUUGAACUGGAGUCACAUGCCUGACCUAUGACCUCUGCCCCUAUGAGUUCUCUUCCUGUCGCUGUUUUUCCAAGCUAGCAUAAAUGAAGCAGACAAUGAGACAUAAUGCCCUGUGACACGCAACCUCUUGGGCUCAUCGUCACAGAGCAGAAAUAGACUCACUAACAACAAUAAAACCACUAUAUUUUUGGCUGCUGUGUUGCUCCGUCAGCAUUUUGUGAUGUUCCGAGCUCCAGACGGCAUCUUGCCCCACGACGGAGUUGUUCGGACUGGUGCUGUCAGCAGAUGGUUCCAUACCCAUGAACAGAAAAGGAACUGGUACUGGUUUUUGUUAUCAAAGCUUUCCAAAAAGGUUGUGUGGUCGCCACUCUUUAGUCUUUACUUUAUUCUACACACCAUUUCGUCUGUUUGUGCGGAAUAAACAAAGAUGCACACCACACACAAAACACACACACACACACACACACACACACACACACACACACCUCCAUAACAAGUAUGACCCUUGAGGUCUGCAGUAGUGGUGCGUUUUAUUAUCCAUCUGUCUCGGAGGUCCGAGGACGUGGCCUAGCGACACGCAUGAACACGCCCCUUUUCCUCGGACAGCGAACUUGCUUGCUCGGUUGAACUCAGAGGAGACCGAGCAAGGAUUCCGAGACAGUAUUCAAGAUGGUCUCUGCAUAUGGCCUAUACUUAUUUUGGAGCGCCUGGUACUCUGCCAAUGCUACCGCGACAACAGCUUUCCGGGUGGCGUCCAAGUUUUUCUCCAAUGACUGACGAGCGAAACAUAAUAAUACGUGAGCAGCCUCGCACUCUACAGGAACACCAAUAAACUGCAACUGCCCUUCAAAUACUUGGAGGAGUUUAAGGUUACAAGAGCCAGAGAAGUGGUUCAGUACAGAGUCUCACGUGAUCUGAAGGGGGCUAAAGCAGGGAUCCAAGUGAGGACUGGAAGGAAGUGGAGGGCAGAGGUCAUAAUUGAGUUGACAUGCGGUGUGUGCACGUGCUUGUGUGCAUGUGCAUUUCCGUGAAUGUUUGUGCGUUGCUAGCGUAAAGACUCAUAGUGGUCAGGUCAUCUCGGCCAUGGCGGAGAAGGAAUUGGGGGAAAGAUACUUUGGCUUUGACUCUCUGAAGUCCAGAUUGAACCACAAAUUCAGAUUGAUGUGGAAGUGCCAGCUUUUGGCCGUGAUAUUAAAUAUUAUAUUAUAGAUGUCUAUACAUCACAAUAUUAUAUUGUUUAGAUAUAGAGCUCCAGGACUCCCUCCGAGUUCCCGGAGUGUUCUAGAACAUCUUAUGGAACACGGCCAAAAGCUGUGUGUGCCUCUGGAUGAUAUUAUGAAUAAUCGACUGCGUCUCUUGUACUUAAAUAUGAGGAGCAUAUCAAGAUUCCCACCAGAGACAAAAACACGCUUGACCACUGUUACACAGUUUUGAAGGACAGCUCUCGGACUCUAGGACCACGGUCUGCUUCAUCUCAUCCCAAUCUACAGGCAGAAACUAAAAGCUUCUAAACCAGUGGCAAAGACUUUAAAGAAAUGGACAAGGGAAUCCCAGGCUUGUUGCAGGCUUGCUUUGACUGCACCAACUGGAGCGUUUUUCAAGCUGCAGCUACAGACCUACGACCUCACGGACACUGUAACAUCUUACAUCCGUUUUUGCGAGGACCUCUGUGUGCAGACCAAUACCUUCUGCACAUACAACAACAGCAAAUCUUGGUUCACUCCUAAUCUUAGGAAGAUGCGUCAAGCCAUCGAGGUGGCCCACAUAAGUGGGGACCGGGACCUAUAUAAGCAGGCCAGGAACAAGUUGACAAAGUAAUCUACAGUGAGAAACAAAAAAAUUGUCUCUCCGCCAAUAACCCUGCAUCAGUUUGGAAAGGCCUGCAACAAAUUACUAACUACAAGAGACAAUCCCCCCACCCUGCAGAAAAUUCCAGUCUGGCAGACGACCUGAAUGACUUUUACUGCAGGUUUGAAAAGCACCCAUAAUCACACCCCUCACGCACAAAAGGUUUUCCCUCAUCACCCAAUCCCCUCCCCCCACCGGCGCUA